RNAcentral lists this non-coding RNA (21 nucleotides) under Caenorhabditis elegans. Lineage: Eukaryota; Metazoa; Nematoda; Chromadorea; Rhabditida; Rhabditidae. The record is from RNAcentral.
UAGGGUUUUGAAAUCUUGAAU